This 157-nucleotide non-coding RNA is filed under the name Clostridium sp. RNAcentral describes it as "SAM-I sequence". It matches the Rfam family "SAM riboswitch aptamer (S box leader)". From Rfam's summary of the family: The SAM riboswitch is found upstream of a number of genes which code for proteins involved in methionine or cysteine biosynthesis in Gram-positive bacteria. The SAM riboswitch acts at the level of transcription termination control. The predicted structure consists of a complex stem-loop region followed by a single stem loop terminator region. The record is from RNAcentral. RNAcentral also lists the same sequence under 1 other name. Lineage: Bacteria; Bacillati; Bacillota; Clostridia; Eubacteriales; Clostridiaceae.
CCCUUAUUCAGAGUGAUGGAGGUACAAAGGACCUGUGAAGUCACGGCAACCCCGGUUGAGUAUGUCAGAGUUUGUCUGAUGGCAUGCAAAAGGGCCGGAAGGUGCCAGCCUGAGCGAGGAGCGUGCGCAUUGCGCAAGCUUAAUCGAGCAAUAAGAG